RNAcentral lists this long non-coding RNA (574 nucleotides) under Pongo abelii (Sumatran orangutan). RNAcentral's name for it is "lincRNA". Lineage: Eukaryota; Metazoa; Chordata; Mammalia; Primates; Hominidae. The record is from RNAcentral.
GAUACUUAGGCUCCCCAGAGAAAUUAGUCACAAGUCUUAUCCCUUCAUCUCCAUUUACAGCCAUUUAUUUGGGAGCAACAUGCUCUAAAUGAGUGAUAAACAAAGUGUCUCCCCACAGCCCCCACCCCAGCAUGUGUUCUGAAGUUCACAGGAAGGCUUCUCCUCAUUUGCUUUGGGGCCCACAGGCUGCCUGCUAACAGCUGGGUCUUCCCAUGAACAAAUUAGACAGUAAAUGUUCCAGGAUGAAGAGGGCUUCAGGGAACAGAAUCUGCCGUUUAUUUGACUUGCUUCAUUAGACACAGUGCCAUCAUACCAAAAUUAGAAAAAAGAAGGAACUCAGCGGAAAUCAGCUACACAAGAAGAACCUCUCAGUUCUGAGAAUUCACAUUAACCAGUGAUUAAGAAAUAUUAAAAAGUUCUUGGCUGUGCUUGAGGAUGUGUAAGGCACCAGAUGUGAAAGUAAGGAAGAAAGAUGGAUGUGGAAGAAAGUCACUGCCCAAAGAAUUAGGAGACCUGGAUUCUAAUCUCAGCUCUGCCAUUAACUAGCUGUGAGACUCAAGGAUAACUAAUCAUU